RNAcentral lists this small nucleolar RNA (132 nucleotides) under Sphenodon punctatus (tuatara). Lineage: Eukaryota; Metazoa; Chordata; Lepidosauria; Sphenodontia; Sphenodontidae. The record is from RNAcentral.
AUGCACAUGUCAUUGACCUGCUGCUAUUCCACUUGUGAGCAGUGUUAUUUCUGAUGUGCUAAACAAACCGUUGAAGGUUAAUUAGCAGUGUUGCUGCAUAUAGUUACUGCUGCCAGUCUCCUUCAGACAAAG